UUUGAAAAUGAGAAUCCUUUCCACCGUAUAACAACUCCAUUUUUCCCAGGUAUGUAUGAUCUUCAAUGCCAGAGAGCUAACCCUGGUGGACUAUGGAAAUAACGACACCUUGGGUUAUGUAUGCACUGAAUUCAUGAACCCCCACCUCCUCAGUGUUCGUAUUAAUGAGCGGUGUCAGCAAGGAACAGAAGAUCAUAAGAAAUAGACUUAUCUUGUUGGUAUUAAGAGUAUUGCUAUAGGGUGAUGUUGUAGGUCUGGAGCGGGGCGGGGGAAAGACCGAGGUGAUGGUGAUGGAAGGUGUGACUGCUGUUGCCUACACACUGGAUGAAGGCCUCAUCGAGUUUGGAACAGCCAUUGAUGAUGGCAAUUACACCCGGGCAACAGCUUUCUUAGAGACUCUGGAAAUGACCCCAGAAACAGAGGCAAUGUGGAAAACCUUGAGUCACUGGCGCUAGAGGCAAGGCAACUACACAUUGCGGAGAGGUGCUUUUCUGCUUUGGGCCAAGUAGCAAAAGCUCGAUUCCUGCAUGAGACCAAUGAGAUUGCAGAUCGAGUAUCCCGGGAAUAU
Long non-coding RNA from Cebus imitator (Panamanian white-faced capuchin), 568 nucleotides. RefSeq lists it as uncharacterized. NCBI's taxonomy places the organism in Eukaryota, Metazoa, Chordata, Mammalia, Primates, Cebidae. The transcript has 6 exons. The record is from RefSeq and is a predicted model, not a curated record.